UUGAAUGAACUUGGUGUGGUUGUUGCUGGCCCUUGGCAUGUGCACACCCAUCAUCCUCAUCUUUCCACCUGUGCACAUCUUGUAGACUUGGGGGGGAUAUUAUUUCCCCCGGUCUAUGUCUUUUCAUAUACCCUAUGUAUGUAACAGAAUGUAUUAUUUGGGCCUUGUGCCUAUAAACUUUAUA
Molecule: unclassified non-coding RNA, 184 nt
Filed under: uncultured Agaricomycetes
Lineage: Eukaryota; Fungi; Basidiomycota; Agaricomycetes
Description: sequence contains ITS1
Source: RNAcentral